GACGAACGCUGGCGGCGCGCCUAACACAUGCAAGUCGAACGGAGUUGUGUUGAAAGCUUGCUGGAUAUACAACUUAGUGGCGGACGGGUGAGUAACACGUGAGUAACCUGCCUCUCAGAGUGGAAUAACGUUUGGAAACGAACGCUAAUACCGCAUAACGUGAGAAGAGGGCAUCCUCUUUUUGCCAAAGAUUUAUCGCUGAGAGAUGGGCUCGCGGCCGAUUAGGUAGUUGGCGGGGUAACGGCCCACCAAGGCGACGAUCAGUAGCCGGACUGAGAGGUUGGCUGGCCACAUUGGGACUGAGACACGGCCCAG
This 315-nucleotide ribosomal RNA is filed under the name uncultured bacterium. RNAcentral's name for it is "bacterial SSU rRNA". It matches the Rfam family "Bacterial small subunit ribosomal RNA", at positions 28 to 334 of the family's 1533-position model. The record is from RNAcentral.